RNA transcript from Monopterus albus (swamp eel), 2886 nucleotides. It is a transcript of the gene named syntaxin binding protein 1b, with no coding region annotated. The record is from RefSeq and is a predicted model, not a curated record. NCBI's taxonomy places the organism in Eukaryota, Metazoa, Chordata, Actinopteri, Synbranchiformes, Synbranchidae. The transcript has 20 exons.
UAGAGGGCUCGUCAUGGCACCACUUGGACUAAAAGCUAUUGUCGGAGAGAAGAUAAUGAACAAUAUCAUCAAGAAGGCAAGAGAAAAGGGAAAAUGGAAGGUGUUGGUGGUGGACAGACUGAGUAUGAGGAUGAUUUCCUCCUGCUGUAAGAUGACAGACAUCAUGUCAGAAGGAAUCACCAUUGUAGAAGACAUAACCAAGCAGCGUGAGCCUCUACCCAGCAUGGAAGCCAUCUAUCUGAUCACACCCUCAGAAGAGUCCGUUGAGGGUUUAAUUGAUGACUUCAGAGACCCGCGGGCUCCGAAGUACCGAGCAGCUCACGUCUUCUUCACUGACUCAAUCCCAGACUCCUUGUUUGGGCUGCUGACAAAAUCCCGUGCCUCCAAAGCCAUGAAAGCCUUGACUGAGAUCCACAUUGCUUUUCUACCCUAUGAAUCUCAGGUCUUCUCCCUGGAUAAUGUGGAUGCCUUUCAGGACUUCUACAGCCCGUUUAAGGCUGAUGUGAAGAAUAACAUGCUGGAACGUUGCGCUGAGCAGAUUGCCACGCUCUGUGCCACACUCAAAGAGUAUCCUGGAGUCCGAUACAGAGGGGAGUACGAGGACUGUGCAGUUCUAGCCCAGAUGCUUCAGGAGAAGCUGGAUGGCUACAAGGCUGAUGACCCCACCAUGGGAGAGGGUCCAGAUAAGUCUCUUACUCAGCUGCUCAUUUUGGAUCGUGGCUUUGAUCCUGUGUCACCUCUCCUGCAUGAGCUUACACUGCAGGCUAUGGCCUACGACCUGCUGGGCAUUGAGAACGAUGUCUACAGGUUUGAGACCAGUGGGAUAGGAGAGACGAGAAUGAAGGAGGUAUUGUUGGAUGAGGAUGAUGACCUGUGGCUGAGCCUGAGACACAAACACAUUGCUGAGGUGUCAGCGGCUGUGACUCGAUCCCUGAAAGAAUUCUCUGCUAGCAAAAAGAUGAGCACUGGAGAAAAGGCCACCAUGAAGGAGUUGUCUCAGAUGCUGAAGAAGAUGCCUCAGUAUCAGAAAGAGCUCAGCAAGUAUUCGACCCAUCUCCACCUGGCUGAGGACUGUAUGAACCGCUACCAGGGCACUGUGGACAAACUCUGUCGUGUAGAACAGGAUCUGGCAAUGGGCACAGAUGCAGAGGGAGAGAAGAUCAAGGAUCCUAUGAGGCUCAUUGUACCUGUUUUACUGGAUGCCAAUGUCAGUGUGUUUGACAAAAUCCGCAUCAUCCUGCUCUACAUAUUCCUUAAGAAUGGGGUGACUGAGGAGAAUCUGUGUAAGCUCCUUCAGCAUGCCAACAUUCCGCCAGAGGAUAGUGACAUCAUUUCCAACAUGGCCCACAUGGGCGUUCCUAUUGUCUCUGAGGGUACUGCCAAGAAAGCCAAGAGGUCUGAGCGUAAGGAGCGAAGCAGUGAGCAGACGUACCAGCUCUCCAGGUGGACCCCUCUUGUCAAGGAUCUCAUUGAGGAUGCCAUUGAAGACAAACUUGACCCCAAGCAGUACCCAUACAUUUCCCAACGACAAGCAUCUGCCAAGGCCAGUGCUCCAUCAAGUGCUCGCUAUGGUAACUGGCACAAGAACAGGGGCCCCACAGAGAUGAAGAUGGGGCCCAGGGUCAUUGUCUUUAUUAUUGGAGGGAUGACGUACAGUGAGAUGCGCUGUGUAUAUGAGGUCACCCAGGCCAAUGGCAAGUGGGAGGCCCUCAUUGGUUCUACUCACAUUCUCACUCCCCCUAAGUACCUAAAGGGACUACAGCACCCAGACCUCUUGGACCCUAAUGCCCCAUCAGAGGGCAGAGAGGAGCUGACUGCAGAGUGAAAAGACGUUUGGACGUAAAUACAGAACUCACAAUGUGAUUUAUGAAUCCCUGUGCUCCCCCACCAAUCCAUCCACCCACCCAGCGUCUUACCUUUGAUCCACCCAACCAUCCUUGCAGCAUUUCUUUGUCAGUGAUUUUCACUGAAUCUCAAAUGCUGCCAUAUUCUUUGACACUGACACUGAUCCUUCUAUCUCAUAUUUGUACCUCGAAGGAAUAUGAUCAACUGAAAUCUCCACCCCUUCUUGUCUUCUUAAAUCUCUGACUUGGAGAAAGAAGAACAGACCAGUUAGAAAGCUCCUGUAGUACUCCCUCCUCAACCCUCAUGCAGUAGUGACACCAGACUGUGACUUCCCCUCUCUCCUUAUUGCACUAUACAUGAACCAUAUGCUUGCUGCUGUAUAUGGUUCAGGUGCAGUUAACUUAUAAACCAAUCUGUGUUUUAAAUCACUAACAAGAGACUGAAUUUAUGUGCAUUGUUGUUCACUGUAUGCUGUGGGAUGUUCUAUUUCUUUGGAAAAGUAAUAUAUAUUGUGUAUGAAUUAGUUUAGAUGACUGUAUGAGAACUGAUGAUCGUUUUCAUUAGAGACAGAUAGAUUUGACACAUUAUCUGUGUGUUAACUUCAUCUCUCUCCUAUCAAUACACCUUUCUCUUUUAUUUUUUGGAGCCUGCCAGUUUUUAAUGUAGUGCUUGCCAUACAGUAGCAAUCAUGCCAUACUGUACAAGUCAGAUUUACAGUGAUGUGUGACAUUGAAAAUGACAACAUUUGUGUCAGUCUGAUGAUAUACACAGUAUAGUUGAGUUGGAUUUUCUGUUGUGUAUUGUCUCAAUACUCUGCAGUGUUGUUUGGCAACAUACUUUUGUCCUGUAGAGGCUCAGUUUCCUUUUGUUUCCCUGUGUUUGACCAUAAUGUUUUCAUUGGUUGUUGUUACAUAUAUGAAUAUUUUCUGGAAAUAGUAAUCCACUGUGUAUGAAAACAGGUCAGUAAUAUAACAAGUCUGUGCUUUCAUGUCCACAUCCAUGAAUGACACUUGCUGCAGAGUGUGUUACGUGAAUAAAGCG